ACCGGUUGCGAACCCACAGCGCCGCGGAGGGAACGCCUGCGCCUCGGCCGGACACUAAGAGUUAAGAUGUGGCGGAGGGGGUGGCGGGGGAGGGGCGGAGAGGAGAAAGUGGCGAGGGGGAGGGAGGCGGGGGGGGGGGGGGGGGGGGGGCGACAGAUUUCCAGCUUCUACGACGCUCUGCCUAAAUUAAAAAGCAACCAAUCGGAACGGCCGGAAGGGGGGCCGCGCGUCCUGAGCCAGUCAUUCCGGGCCUGCCAAUCACCCAGCGGGUAGCCAAUCAGCGGGGGCCCUGGUGCUCGACUUCCUUGUAUUUGGGAAAGUGUGGUGGUGGGUGCGCGCUCGCGGCGGAGGGUAAACAUUCGACAGUCCCUGCUCUGAGAGGGAGGGACAGAGAGCGAACUGUCAGAUCCCUGCGAGAGCGGGCGGGCGAGCGAGGGAGAGGGAGUGAGAGAGAGAGAGAGAGAGAGGGAGGGAGAGGGAAAGUGAGAGAGGGAGAGAGCGCGAACGAGGGCGCAGAGCGAGCUCCCGCUGCAACUCCGCUCCGGCUCGGCCAGCGCCAGCGCCGUCGGUGCACUCUACGAGCCGUGCAACGUGCCCACUGGAGUUGGUUGUGUAUCAAGGAUCCCCUAUAUGCACACACACACCUCCACCUCCACCAAUGCACUCUUCUUCCUCCUCCUCCUCCAGACAACUGCUGGGAAAAAAAUAAAACACCAACCCCAACCGUCAGCAACAAGAGGCAACCAAGAGCUCCGGCAAUAGCAACUUCAGAGAAAUGCACCAUCGCAAGAAGUUUUCCUAGGACAGAACAAAACUUGAAACGAAAGGACCAGAGGAGGAGAGCAGGAGCCAGCCUCUCCUCUCCGCACACGCGAGCAGCCAGCAUCACCACGCCUUCAAGGACGGAAAAAAAGUUUUACUACUCUAAGGGAAAACGAGUGAAAUGUGUUCCUGAGGAGGAGAGAAGAGAGCGGGCAAGGGAAGCAGCGGUCCGGUUGCUGGUCACCCACAAUUUGGUUAAGGAAGAAAGGAACGGCUGCUUUCUUUGUUGUCUCCCGUGAAAUCUUCACUUAGCAGGUGGACUGAGCCCCGCGCCCGGGCAGAGUCCGCGCUCGGCGGAGGACGGCAAGAGGAGCGGGAGCCGGCGCGCCCCGCCAAAGAGCCCGGAGCGCAGGCCCGCGCCCUGCCCGGUGAGCCCCGCUGGAGCGAGCGGAACGCGCCGGGGCUGGGGGGCGGCCACGACCCCCCCUGAAGGGGGCGGCCACGGAGCGCGCCCCGAGAAGCGAGCCCCCCUCCCUAGAGCGCUGCUCCUGCUGCUCCUGCUGCUGCUGCUGCUGCUGCUGCUGACCAAGGCCGGCCGGCGACCCCCGCGCCCUGCCGAGCGGCCUUGCAGCUGCAGCCGGGGGCCGCGGCGGCGGCGGCGGCGGCGGCGGCGGGGGCGGAGGCGGCGGAGGAGGAGGCGGCGGCGAAGGCGGCGGGGCCGGCCGGGGCCCGGGGCGGGGGCGGGGGAGGAGGGGGGGGAGGAGGCGGGAGGCGGGGGGGCGCGGCGGCGGCGGCGGCGGCGGCCGCGGCUGCUGCUGCUGCGGCGGCGGCGGUGGUGGCGGCGGUGGGGUGGCGGGAGCGGAGCGGCAUGGCCACGGCGGCUUCUAACCCCUACCUGCCGGGGAACAGCCUGCUGGCGGCCGGCUCCAUUGUACACUCGGACGCGGCGGGAGCCGGCGGCGGCGGGGGCGGCGGCGGCGGGGGCGGCGGCGGCGGCGCGGGCGGCGGCGGGGGAGGCAUGCAGCCCGGCAGCGCCGCCGUGACCUCAGGCGCCUACCGAGGGGACCCGUCCUCCGUCAAGAUGGUCCAGAGCGACUUCAUGCAGGGGGCCAUGGCCGCCAGCAACGGCGGCCAUAUGCUAAGCCACG
Lynx canadensis (Canada lynx) is the source of this 1910-nucleotide long non-coding RNA. Lineage: Eukaryota; Metazoa; Chordata; Mammalia; Carnivora; Felidae. The record is from Ensembl.